UGUAGUUACUCUUUUCUAUUUUCUUUCCAAAAGGCAGUAUAGACUACAUUUCUAUAGAUCUGGAAGAAGCUGAUACAAGGGAAACCCUUUUAGGAGCAGGCCGAUUCAGCAACUCUUUCUGAAGAGGAAGAAAAGGGAGAUGCUACUGUUAGCACCAGUGUUGAUCUUAUGGAUACAAAUAUCACAAAUGAAUGGACAACAGAUAAAGCAUUUUCCUGAAUUCUCGCUUCUGCAAGAAGGGGAGAACUUUACCACAUACUGCAAUUCCUCAAGCACAUUUUACAACUUACAGUGGUAUAAGCAGAGCCCUGGGGGCAGUCCUGCCCUCUUGAUGAUAGUAGCUAAGGGUGGAGAAGUGAAGAUGGAGCAGAGACUGACAGGUCGGCUUGGAGAGUCCAAACAGCACAGCUCCCUGCACCUCACGGCUGCCCAGCUCUCAGAUGCAGGAACCUACUUCUGCGCUGGGCACAGUGCUCUGGAAGCACCUGCUGUCUGUCCUCAAACCUCACUGUGGGCUCCAGCGGUCGCUCCUCCUCAUCUCUCCUCAGAGCAGGGGCCAGAGAUAGCUGAUGUCAUGAUGUCUAUGAAGAAACUGAAGUUUUAAUUAAAAAAAAAAAAAACCAAAACCCAGACUCUGUGUCACUGAAGAAUUCUGUCAAACAUUAACUUGUACACAAUUUCUUGCAGAAAAUAUAAAGAAAAUAGUUCUUCACUGAUUUUAUGAUGCUAAUAUUACCCUGAUACCCAAAUCAGAAGACCAUAAAGAACCAAAAACUACAUGGAAAUAUCUUUUAUCUUGAAGAUAGACACAAAUUUCUGAAAAUAUUUUAGCAAGUAAAAUUCAUUGAUAUAUAAAAUGAAUAACAUACUGAGCACAAAUGUAAUUUCUUUCAAGGGUGCUGCUGCUGCUGCUGGUGCUAAGUCGCUUCAGUCGUGUCCGACUCUGUGAGACCCCAUAGACAGCAGCCCACUACGCUCCUCUAUCCCUGGGAUUCUC
Molecule: non-coding RNA, 997 nt
Organism: Bubalus bubalis (water buffalo)
Lineage: Eukaryota; Metazoa; Chordata; Mammalia; Artiodactyla; Bovidae
Source: the annotation of a RefSeq genome assembly